AAAUCAUAGUAGAGGGCUCACAGUAACGAAGAAAGCACCAAGCACUGGCUGGGAGCUGAGACCUCUGACUGCUCAGAACAAACCAAAGAGAUUAAACUUUAUGUAAGGAGCAACAACCAGAACAGGCUAAUUUUAGACGAAUACCAGUUCCCAGAUCACUGGUUUAGAAAAACACUACCCUGCUUGGCAAAUCCAGUCCACUUUCCUGAGAGGAUUUCUAUGGCAGAGGAGCUGGCAAGCUGCCUUUUAUAGAAAGGCCGUCUGCAAUGGAUGCGCCCACUUCCUGGUCCCUCAGCCCCAGCUGUCACUUUUCAACCCACUACAAUGAAGUCUCCGUUUCCACGGAAAACGCUCUUAUGGAGGUGAACGGCCUCCCAAUGGCCAAAGGUGAGACGGCUUCCCGGCUUCUCUCCUGAGCUCUGUAGAACCUCACGCUGGCCCCUCUCCCGUGGCCUGACUCCCUCCUAGUGCGGCUUCCAGCUCCCCAUCCUUUCUGUUCCCUCCCACACACCUGACCGCUGUUUUCCUCCAGCAUCCCCUUCUGAUCGGCUCUUCCACCUUCUCCCAGGAUUCUCCUCAUCCAAACCCACAGCCAGGGCUUCCCCAGUGUCAAGCACCAGGCUACCCUCUCUUCUGGGUGCCAGACCCACACAUCCUGCGAGCUGGUGCGCUUCUCCCCCUGAGUGCCCCGUAGGCCCCUCAAACUCAACGAGUCAGCUCCAUGAAGUGGGGGCCAAACUGCUCUGUGGGUCACCCUCGAUCCUAAGACCCUAAUGCGGCAUGUGGCAUGCCAUUGGCAUUCCAUAAAUGACUGUUGAAUGUUCCAAACCAAAUUCAUUGAUUUUUCCCUUAAAAUUGCCUCUCUUCUUGGAAUCCCCAUCUCAGUGAAUGACACCAUCCAAUCAUCCAAGUCGAGUCCUUAGGUCAUCCUAGCUGUCCCUUCCCCACCUCCCCACCCAGCAUCCAUUCAGUGUCAAGCUGUGCAGCUCUCAUCUCCAUAACGUUCCUUGUGCCAGAUCCCUCCUGCCCAACCCAGAACCACCACCUUGCGGGAGGCUCUCACAUCUGAACGUGAGCAGCAUGACCGCCUCCUUUAGACCUUCCACCCCUGGUCUGGCAGCCUCAGAUUCACUGCCCCAGGAUCCUCACACUCUGACCCCAUCUGCCUCUCUAGGUAGAAUGCAGGGGACUAGAUGGGGAGCCAGUCUGGUUGGGGGAUCAGGAGACUUCUGUGAGGAAGUGCCUAUUGAGAUGACCUCUGCAAGAUAGUAGGAGGUGGUUAGGCAAAGACCUGUGGGGUGGCAGAGGGCAGAGCAGCAAGCAUUACAGAGGAAACAGGUGUCCAAGGGUUCUAAGGUUGGCAGGGGCACAGCACGUUCUAGAAGCUACAAGACAGCCGGUGUGGCUGGAGCCCAGGCAGCAAAAUGCAGCAUCUGGCCAGAUGAGGCUGCAGGGGAAACAGGGACCGGAUGGCCCAGGGGCUGGGGAUGCAGGCAAGAAUUUUAGUUUCUACUUCAGAACACCAGGAAGCAGAAGAGUGACAUGAUCAAGUCUGCCUUUUGAAAAGAUCCCUCUUCAAAAAUGCUUAGUUAAUGAAGUAAUGAUGGAUAAUUUCCUAACAUGAUAAAAUGCAGAUAUCGCAACCAAAAUUCAGCAUUUAGAAAGGGAACACUAGUCGCAUUUCACUAUUGAAAAGCAAGACACAAUGUCCGCUAUCAUUGUUCUUUGAGGAGCUGGCCAACAUAAUUGGGUGAGAAAGAAAUUAGAGAUUUAAAAAUGAGGAAAAAAGAGGUACAGCUCUCACUAUUUGCAUAUGAUAUGCCUAUACAGCUAAAAACCCCCAAAGAAUCCAUUAAGAAACUACUCAAACCAUAAGAGAAUUCAGUAGGGUGGUAGAAGCAAGUUAAUAUGUAGAAAUCAAUAACUUGCUUGUAUAUGAACAAUAACCAGUUUCAAGAGAUAUUAGAAGGAAAGGCCUCCAUUUAUAAUAGAAGCAAGAGGGUGAAAUUAACAGUAAAUGAAACAAGAGUUGUACAAGAUCCUUAUGAAGAGAAUUUAAAUUAACCUGAGGGACGCAGAAAACUUGAUGUCCAUUCCUGGACAGGAAGAUUCAACAAUAAGACAAUGUCAAUGCUUCCUAAAUUAAUCUAUAAACAUAAUGCAACCCCAAUAAAAAUAACAAUGGGAGUCUUAAACAUCAGAACACUCUUGAUUUUGGAGUUUAUAUGAAAAGCUCCCUCUGGCUGCAGUGUGGCUGGCUAUGGACUGAAGAGUGAGAGUGGGCGGGCUGGCGGGUGACCUAGGACACCUGGCAGGGAUCCUGCUGAAG
Molecule: long non-coding RNA, 2329 nt
Filed under: Homo sapiens (human)
Lineage: Eukaryota; Metazoa; Chordata; Mammalia; Primates; Hominidae
Description: HSALNT0338021
Source: RNAcentral